UGGGGAAUAUUGGACAAUGGGCGAAAGCCUGAUCCAGCCAUGCCGCGUGUGUGAAGAAGGUCUUCGGAUUGUAAAGCACUUUAAGUUGGGAGGAAGGGCAGUAAGCGAAUACCUUGCUGUUUUGACGUUACCGACAGAAUAAGCACCGGCUAACUCUGUGCCAGCAGCCGCGGUAAUACAGAGGGUGCAAGCGUUAAUCGGAAUUACUGGGCGUAAAGCGCGCGUAGGUGGUUCGUUAAGUUGAAUGUGAAAGCCCCGGGCUCAACCUGGGAACUGCAUCCAGAACUGGCGAGCUAGAGUAGGGCAGAGGGUGGUGGAAUUUCCUGUGUAGCGGAGAAAUGCGUAGAUAUAGGAAGGAACACCAGUGGCGAAGGCGACCACCUGGGCUCAUACUGACACUGAGGUGCGAAAGCGUGGGGAGCAAACAGG
Molecule: ribosomal RNA, 429 nt
Filed under: Pseudomonadota bacterium
Lineage: Bacteria; Pseudomonadati; Pseudomonadota
Description: Proteobacteria bacterium partial 16S ribosomal RNA
Rfam family: Bacterial small subunit ribosomal RNA
Source: RNAcentral